This 451-nucleotide ribosomal RNA is filed under the name uncultured bacterium. Its description in RNAcentral is "bacterial SSU rRNA". It matches the Rfam family "Bacterial small subunit ribosomal RNA", at positions 335 to 799 of the family's 1533-position model. The record is from RNAcentral.
ACUCCUACGGGAGGCAGCAGUGGGGAAUAUUGCACAAUGGGCGCAAGCCUGAUGCAGCAACGCCGUGUGAGUGAAGAAGGUUUUCGGAUCGUAAAAACUCUGUCCUAAGGGAAGAAAAAAUGACGGUACCUUAGGAGGAAGCCCCGGCUAACUACGUGCCAGCAGCCGCGGUAAUACGUAGGGGGCAAGCGUUAUCCGGAAUCACUGGGCGUAAAGGGUGCGUAGGCGGCUUGACAAGCCAGGGGUGAAAGGCAUUGGCUCAACCAAUGUAAGCCUUUUGGAACUGUUAAGCUUGAGUGCAGGAGAGGUAAGUGGAAUUCCUAGUGUAGAGGUGAAAUUCGUAGAUAUUAGGAGGAACACCAGUGGCGAAGGCGACUUACUGGACUGUAACUGACGCUGAUGCACGAAAGCGUGGGUAGCGAACAGGAUUAGAUACCCUGGUAGCACAGAG